UAAUCGGAAUGAGUACAAUUUAAAUCCUUUAACGAGGACCAAUUGGAGGGCAAGUCUGGUGCCAGCAGCCGCGGUAAUUCCAGCUCCAAUAGCGUAUAUUAAAGUUGUUGCGGUUAAAAAGCUCGUAGUUGAAUCUGUGUGUCACAGUGUCGGUUCACCGCUCGCGGUGUCUAACUGGCAUUAUGUGGUACGUCCUACCGGUGGGCUUAGCUCCUUGCGGGCGGUCCAACUAAUCUCCCAUCGCGGUGCUCUUCACUGAGUGUCGAGGUGGGCCGGUACGUUUACUUUGAACAAAUUAGAGUGCUCAAUGCAGGCUACCUUCGCCUGUAUACUGCGUGCAUGGAAUAAUGGAAUAGGACCUCGGUUCUAUUUUGUUGGUUUUCGGAACCCCGAGGUAAUGAUUAAUAGGGACAGAUGGGGGCAUUCGUAUUGCGACGUUAGAGGUGAAAUUCUUGGAUCGUCGCAAGACGGACUAAAGCGAAAGCAUUUGCCAAAAAUGUUUUCAUUAAUCAAGAACGAAAGUUAGAGGUUCGAAGGCGAUCAGAUACCGCCCUAGUUCUAACCAUAAACAAUGCCAGCUAGCGAUCCGCCGAAGUUCCUCCGAUGACUCGGCGGGCAGCUUCCGGGAAACCAAAGCUUUUGGGUUCCGGGGGAAGUAUGGUUGCAAAGCUGAAACU
Molecule: ribosomal RNA, 677 nt
Filed under: Alloscirtetica sp. 2 JESJ-2019
Lineage: Eukaryota; Metazoa; Arthropoda; Insecta; Hymenoptera; Apidae
Description: SSU rRNA
Rfam family: Eukaryotic small subunit ribosomal RNA
Source: RNAcentral